RNAcentral lists this ribosomal RNA (159 nucleotides) under Crotalaria retusa. Its description in RNAcentral is "5.8S ribosomal RNA". The stretch from base 17 to 159 matches the Rfam family "5.8S ribosomal RNA". From Rfam's summary of the family: 5.8S ribosomal RNA (5.8S rRNA) is a component of the large subunit of the eukaryotic ribosome. Lineage: Eukaryota; Viridiplantae; Streptophyta; Magnoliopsida; Fabales; Fabaceae. The record is from RNAcentral.
ACACGUGUAUUCGAAGGACUCUCGGCAACGGAUAUCUUGGCUCUUGCAUCGAUGAAGAACGUAGCGAAAUGCGAUACUUGGUGUGAAUUGCAGAAUCCCGUGAACCAUCGAGUCUUUGAACGCAAGUUGCGCCCGAAGCCAUUAGGCUGAGGGCAUGCC